GCCUACGGCCAUACCAGACGGAAGGCCCCCAAUCCCGUCCGAUCUCGGGAGAUAAACUGUCCCAGGCCUGGCUAGUACUUGGAUGGGUGACCACCAGGGAAUCCCAGGUGCCGUAGGCA
This 119-nucleotide ribosomal RNA is filed under the name Chelonia mydas (Green sea turtle). Lineage: Eukaryota; Metazoa; Chordata; Testudines; Cheloniidae. The record is from RNAcentral.